GACGAACGCUGGCGGCGUGCUUAACACAUGCAAGUCGAACGAGGAUUAGUUGGUUGAGAGCUUCGGCAGGAUACCGGUUAAUUCGAGUGGCGGACGGGUGAGUAACGCGUGAGCAACCUGUCCCAGACAGGGGGAUAACACUUGGAAACAGGUGCUAAUACCGCAUAAGACCACGGUAGGACAUCCUACAGGGGUAAAAGGAGCAAUCCGGUUUGGGGUGGGCUCGCGUCCGAUUAGAUAGUUGGUGAGGUAACGGCCCACCAAGUCGACGAUCGGUAGCCGACCUGAGAGGGUGAUCGGCCACAUUGGAACUGAGAGACGGUCCAA
This 327-nucleotide ribosomal RNA is filed under the name uncultured bacterium. Its description in RNAcentral is "bacterial SSU rRNA". It matches the Rfam family "Bacterial small subunit ribosomal RNA", at positions 28 to 334 of the family's 1533-position model. The record is from RNAcentral.